UACGGAGGGUGCAAGCGUUAUCCGGAAUUACUGGGUUUAAAGGGUGCGUAGGCGGCUUGAUAAGUCAGAGGUGAAAGCCUAUCGCUUAACGAUAGAAUUGCCUUUGAUACUGUAAAGCUUGAAAGGGGUUGAGGUCAGCAGAAUGUGGCAUGUAGCGGUGAAAUGCAUAGAUAUGCCAUAGAACACCGAUUGCGAAGGCAGCUGGCUGGGCCUACCUUGACGCUGAGUCACGAAAGCGUGGGGAGCGAACAGG
RNAcentral lists this ribosomal RNA (253 nucleotides) under uncultured bacterium. Its description in RNAcentral is "partial 16S ribosomal RNA". It matches the Rfam family "Bacterial small subunit ribosomal RNA", at positions 524 to 776 of the family's 1533-position model. The record is from RNAcentral.